AAAACGCGAUAAUUAAUAUAAAUUGCAGAAUUUAGUAAAUUAUCGAGUCUUUGAACGCACAUUGCGCCCAUAAGUAUUCCUUUAAGCAUAUCUGUUUAAACAUUAUUAUAACUCUUAGCUAACUACUGGUUUUGAACCUGAAUAGGUGAUACUAUGCCGGUUUUAAAGUUGUAAGCUCUGCUGGCUGCUCUACCCAACCAGAAUAUAGUAAGCAUUAUUUGUCCGGAUAAAGCUAAACGGUACGGCCUGAACAAAACCUACCCACUCUUAAGGUUUGAUCUUAGAUUAGACAAAAAUACCCGCUGAACUUAAGC
RNAcentral lists this unclassified non-coding RNA (314 nucleotides) under plant metagenome. RNAcentral's name for it is "partial contains 5.8S ribosomal RNA, internal transcribed spacer 2, and large subunit ribosomal RNA". The stretch from base 1 to 105 matches the Rfam family "5.8S ribosomal RNA", at positions 50 to 154 of the family's 154-position model. The record is from RNAcentral.